This 254-nucleotide ribosomal RNA is filed under the name uncultured prokaryote. RNAcentral describes it as "partial 16S ribosomal RNA". It matches the Rfam family "Bacterial small subunit ribosomal RNA", at positions 525 to 777 of the family's 1533-position model. The record is from RNAcentral.
ACGGGGGGGAGCAAGCGUUGUUCGGAUUUACUGGGCGUAAAGGGCGCGUAGGCGGUCUGGUAAGCGUGUGGUGAAAGCUCGGGGCUCAACCCCGAGUCGGCCGUGCGAACUGCUGGACUGGAGCACUGUAGAGGCAGAUGGAAUUCCGGGUGUAGCGGUGGAAUGCGUAGAGAUCCGGAAGAACACCGGUGGCGAAGGCGGUCUGCUGGGCAGUGGCUGACGCUGAGGCGCGACAGCGUGGGGAGCAAACAGGA